UAAUACGAAGGGUGCAAGCGUUACUCGGAAUUACUGGGCGUAAAGCGUGCGCAGGCGGUUUUGUAAGCCAGAUGUGAAAGCCCCGGGCUUAACCUGGGAAUGGCAUUUGGGACUGCAAGGCUUGAGUGCGGCAGAGGAGACUGGAAUUCCUGGUGUAGCAGUGAAAUGCGUAGAUAUCAGGAGGAAUACCGAUGGCGAAGGCAGGUCUCUGGGCUGACACUGACGCUCAUGCACGAAAGCGUGGGGAGCAAACAGGAUUAGAUACCCUGGUAGUCCACGCCCUAAACGAUGUCGACUGGUUGUUGGGGGUUUGACACUCUCAGUAACGAAGCUAACGCGUGAAGUCGACCGCCUGGGGAGUACGGCCGCAAGGUUA
RNAcentral lists this ribosomal RNA (376 nucleotides) under uncultured bacterium. RNAcentral's name for it is "bacterial SSU rRNA". It matches the Rfam family "Bacterial small subunit ribosomal RNA", at positions 521 to 896 of the family's 1533-position model. The record is from RNAcentral.